UAGCGCGGUAGGCGAUGGGAUCUCCUGAACCGGUGAUUCCAACAGGUGGGUGCCCAGGUCCAUCUGUGAGAUUGACACUUGUUGGCACAUGGACGUCUUGAGACCCAAACUGGAACCUUCCAGCUUGCUCCUUAAUGGUUCUCGGUGUGGUUAAGAUGUCCCUACGAUGAUACAAAAAUACAUCGUGGGAAUUAAUUUAUCGUGGCUGUCUGUUCACCCACAUGAACGAAGUACUGCAUUUAAGAUGACAGGGCUACCACUUGUAAAGGAUGUUUUAUUUAUGAAGUAAAUACACAUUUACAGACUAUAUAUUAGCAUGUAAUAAAAGAUAUUUAAAGCACUUCCUACAGUGCCUGUUACAUAGAACGUUCUCAAUAAACAUCAUUUUUGUUCUCCCCUACAGUGCUAUGAGAAAAAAAAAGAGUGAAAAUAUAAUUUAUAUAUUCAUAAAACAGAAUUUAAAAAGUACAAUGUCUAAAUAUUGAACAGGGAUCCAUCACAAAGGCGCUGUAGUGGCCCCUCUCAGGGGGACCAGGCUCUGGAAAUGACCCAGGUUUGUAAGCAUCCAGGACUGCUGCCCACCUCACCUCAUGCCUCCUCACCUUCACCCGCAGAAAUAACUGGGAGGACCAGAUGGCUAGGGGCGGACAGGUGGCCAGACGCUGUGCCACUGUGAAACGAGGUCUUGUCCGGCAUGUAGAAACCGUUGUCCCACUUGGCCACAAUCCCGGCAAAGAGCGGUGUGGAUCUGUGGCCCAGUGGCAGGAGCCGGCAGGGGAGCCCUGCUCUCCAAGACCACAUCAUGAUGCCAGCGGGCUGGUCCACGAUGGUGUCCAUUUCCUAGAAGGCAGUGCUGCCCUGAGCCAUGGGGACCCAGCCUGAGAGACCUGGGACUGGUGAGCAGGAGGCAAGGUGGCACCCAGGCUUGUGAGCCCCCGUGUCACAAGGGUGGAUCAUACAGGUGGAUUGGAAGGGGAUGGUCUGGAGGCCGCUGAUUCUCCCUGCUGAGGGGUCUGGAAGGCUUCACAUAGGAGAGGACCAAGAAUCUUUCAGGGUUGGGGAGGGCCUCCCAGGUAAUAGGAACGGCAGGUCAGAAUGUUCCAGAACUAGAGAAGUCAUCUGGGAUGAGGGAAGCCAGGGUUCACAGCACACACAGGCAGGGACAGGAGAUCUGUCUGGAAGCUCAGGCUGUACCCUGAUUGUGAAUACAGGCAAGGAUUCAACAGGCCUGUGUUUCCCAAAACAGUCCCAGAGAUGCAUGUGUAACAGGCAUCCUUUACAAAAGGACGUUUUGCAAACACUGGAUUGAACAAAAUCAAACGAGUGUCUUUACCAUGAUUCUUGUUCUUUGAUCAUCUAUGCAUCAAAUCUCCAAAAAGUGGGGAGGGGAUGUAGCUUUUCCCAAACGUCUCUGGCCAGGAAGCUCCUGCCGUGAGACUCCAGGCAGAGGCACCCAAUGAGACGCUCUGCUCCAGGCACAGGAAGUAGCAGAUAUGAGGUUAGAGCUGGCAAAGCUCCCUGUGAGAUGCUGUGGGA
This 1536-nucleotide long non-coding RNA is filed under the name Canis lupus familiaris (dog). Its description in RNAcentral is "lncRNA (ENSCAFG00000055990.1, ENSCAFG00805015534.1, ENSCAFG00845028450.1)". Lineage: Eukaryota; Metazoa; Chordata; Mammalia; Carnivora; Canidae. The record is from RNAcentral.